This 290-nucleotide ribosomal RNA is filed under the name uncultured Magnetococcus sp. Its description in RNAcentral is "partial 16S ribosomal RNA". It matches the Rfam family "Bacterial small subunit ribosomal RNA", at positions 30 to 334 of the family's 1533-position model. Lineage: Bacteria; Pseudomonadati; Pseudomonadota; Magnetococcia; Magnetococcales; Magnetococcaceae. The record is from RNAcentral.
CGAACGUUGGUGGCACGCUUAACACAUGCAAGUCGAACGGUAGCAGGUCCUUCGGGAUGCUGACGAGUGGCGCACGGGUGCGUAACGCGUGGAUACCUGUCCUAGAGUUCGGGACAACAGCUGGAAACGGCUGCUAAUACCGGAUGUGUUCUACGGAAUAAAGACUUCGGUUGCUUUAGGAGGGGUCCGCGUUGGAUUAGGUAGUUGGUGGGGUAAGGGCCUACCAAGCCGACGAUCCAUAGCUGGUCUGAGAGGAUGGUCAGCCACACUGGAACUGAGACACGGUCCAG